GAUGAACGCUGGCGGCAGGCCUAACACAUGCAAGUCGAGCGGAUGAGAAGAGCUUGCUCUUCGAUUCAGCGGCGGACGGGUGAGUAAUGCCUAGGAAUCUGCCUGGUAGUGGGGGACAACGUCUCGAAAGGGACGCUAAUACCGCAUACGUCCUACGGGAGAAAGCAGGGGACCUUCGGGCCUUGCGCUAUCAGAUGAGCCUAGGUCGGAUUAGCUUGUUGGUGAGGUAAUGGCUCACCAAGGCGACGAUCCGUAACUGGUCUGAGAGGAUGAUCAGUCACACUGGAACUGAGACACGGUCCAGACUCCUACGGGAGGCAGCAGUGGGGAAUAUUGGACAAUGGGCGAAAGCCUGAUCCAGCCAUGCCGCGUGUGUGAAGAAGGUCUUCGGAUUGUAAAGCACUUUAAGUUGGGAGGAAGGGCAGUCAGCGAAUACCUGGUUGUUUUGACGUUACCGACAGAAUAAGCACCGGCUAACUCUGUGCCAGCCGCCGCGGUAA
RNAcentral lists this ribosomal RNA (500 nucleotides) under uncultured bacterium. Its description in RNAcentral is "partial 16S ribosomal RNA". It matches the Rfam family "Bacterial small subunit ribosomal RNA", at positions 28 to 523 of the family's 1533-position model. The record is from RNAcentral.